RNAcentral lists this long non-coding RNA (494 nucleotides) under Mytilus galloprovincialis (Mediterranean mussel). Lineage: Eukaryota; Metazoa; Mollusca; Bivalvia; Mytilida; Mytilidae. The record is from RNAcentral.
GGUGAUUCUCUGUAAUAGGAAGUUCACCACUAAUUAAUGGCCCCAUUGCUUUCUAUGUUAAAUUCCUCAAUUUCGAGUGGUCACAGCUCUUUUAUCUUAAGUUCAAAUAAAGUGACAAUCAUUGCAUGUCAAAGCAACACCUUCUGGUGUCCUGUACUGAAAAAAAUCAACAUACCUUACAUUGCAUAUAAGAAAGAACUGGUUCCCGGAACUUCGGAUGUACCAAAACAGGUACUUCCGAUCUGACAAAAAGGCAAAAUGUACCCUCCUUUUUAAAUUUCAUGCCAUUUUUUUAUUAUUCAAAUUUAUCAGUCAAAAAUUGUUCUGCAAUGAUCACCAGUCAUGCAGCUUUCAUUUGAUACCAAAAUUAAUAAAAUAUUCUAAAUAUAUUGAAAGUUAUGUCCAUGCGUAGGAACUAUUUUGUGUUAAAUAUGUACUACUUUCUGGUAUGUGCUUUCUGGCCGGGCCUGAAUUAGUGGUGUUACACCUUAUGU